GCCCGCAUGGCUCAGUGGUAGAGCGUGUCACUAGUAAAGCUAGGCAAUGACAAGGUCGCUAGUUCGAUUCUGGCUGUGGGCA
The sequence is a transfer RNA, 82 nucleotides long. It matches the Rfam family "tRNA". Rfam says of the family: Transfer RNA (tRNA) molecules are approximately 80 nucleotides in length. Their secondary structure includes four short double-helical elements and three loops (D, anti-codon, and T loops). The record is from Rfam.